UGGGCUGUAGCGAGACGCACUAAAGCGAAGGCAUUUGUCAAGAGUGUUUUCAUUAAUCAAGAACGAAAGUCAGAGGUUCGAAGGCGAUUAGAUACCGCCCUAGUUCUGACCGUAAAUGAUGCCAACUGACAAUUCGCUCGUGGAUUUCCUUCAUGAGCGAGCGGUCUUCCGGAAACGAAAGUCUUUCGGUUCCGGGGGAAGUAUGGUUGCAAAGCUGAAACUUAAAGGAAUUGACGGAAGGGCACCACCAGGAGUGGAGCUUGCGGCUUAAUUUGACUCAACACGGGAAACCUCACCCGGCCAGUACAUCGUAAGGAUUGACAGACCGAUAGCUCUUUCAUGAUUCGGUGAAUGGUGGUGCAUGGCCGUUCUUAGUUCGUGGUGCUGACUUGUCUGGUUUAUUCCGAUAACGAGCGAGACGCUGACCAUUAACUAGUGCGCAGAUUACUUCGGUUGUCUGUGAUCACUUCUUAAAGGGAUUUGUGGUGACUAGCCUCAUGAAAUGGCGCAAUAACAGGUCUGUGAUGCCCUUAGAUGUUCGGGGCCGCACGCGUGCUACAAUGGUGGUAUCAGCGUGAUUGUCCUACUCCGAAAGGAGAUGGCAAACAGUUGAGAUAUUAUUAUGGCUGGAAUUGAGUAUUGAAAUUUUCACUCAUGAACGAGGAAUUCCAAGUAAAUGCGAGUCAUCAACUCGCAUUGAUUACGUCCCUGCCCUUUGUACACACCGCCCGUCGCUCCCCGGGACUGAGUUGUUUCGAGAAAGCCACGGACCGGUGGCUACUCAUGUUUCGGCAUGAUGUCGC
RNAcentral lists this ribosomal RNA (803 nucleotides) under Laimaphelenchus sp. Ap019. RNAcentral's name for it is "SSU rRNA". It matches the Rfam family "Eukaryotic small subunit ribosomal RNA", at positions 921 to 1744 of the family's 1831-position model. Lineage: Eukaryota; Metazoa; Nematoda; Chromadorea; Rhabditida; Aphelenchoididae. The record is from RNAcentral.